Molecule: long non-coding RNA, 487 nt
Filed under: Salmo salar (Atlantic salmon)
Lineage: Eukaryota; Metazoa; Chordata; Actinopteri; Salmoniformes; Salmonidae
Description: lncRNA (ENSSSAG00000082774.1, ENSSSAG00000114789.1)
Source: RNAcentral
CAGAUAGGUAGUGUAGACACCAGAUAAGUACUGUAGACACCAGAUAGUCAGAUAGGUACUGUUUCUACAUCUGCACUGCUUGCUGUUUGGGGUUUUAGGCUGGGUCUCUGUAUAGCACUUUGUGACAUCGGCUGAUGUAAAAAGGGCUUUGUAAAUACAUUUGAUUGAUUGAUUGAUUGAUUGAUUGUAGACACCAGAUAGUCAGACAGGUACUGUAGACACCAGAUAUGUACUGUAGACACCAGAUAUGUACUGUAGACACCAGAUAGUCAGAUAGGUACUGUAGACACCAGAUAGUCAGACAGGUACUGUAGACACCAGAUAUGUACUGUAGACACCAGAUAGUCAGAUAGGUACUGUAGACACCAGAUAGGUACUGUAGACACCAGAUAGGUACUGUAGACACCAGAUAGGUACUGUAGACACCAGAUAGGUACUGUAGACACCAGAUAGUCAGAUAAGUACUAUAGACACCAGAUAGGUAGUG